Molecule: ribosomal RNA, 254 nt
Filed under: uncultured bacterium
Lineage: Bacteria
Description: partial 16S ribosomal RNA
Rfam family: Bacterial small subunit ribosomal RNA
Source: RNAcentral
UACGUAGGGGGCAAGCGUUGUCCGGAUUUAUUGGGCGUAAAGAGCUCGUAGGCGGCUCGGUAAGUCGGAUGUGAAACCUCCAGGCUCAACCUGGAGACGCCAUCUGAUACUGCCGUGGCUUGAGUCCGGUAGAGGAGCAGGGAAUUCCUGGUGUAGCGGUGAAAUGCGCAGAUAUCAGGAGGAACACCGAUGGCGAAGGCAGGUCUCUGGGCAUUAACUGACGCUGAGGAGCGAAAGCAUGGGGAGCGAACAGG